UUAUUGGAGAGUUUGAUCCUGGCUCAGGACGAACGCUGGCGGCGUGCCUAAUACAUGCAAGUCGAGCGGACCUGUAUGGAGCUUGC
This 86-nucleotide ribosomal RNA is filed under the name Brevibacillus aydinogluensis. Its description in RNAcentral is "partial 16S ribosomal RNA". It matches the Rfam family "Bacterial small subunit ribosomal RNA", at positions 1 to 87 of the family's 1533-position model. The record is from RNAcentral. Lineage: Bacteria; Bacillati; Bacillota; Bacilli; Caryophanales; Paenibacillaceae.